UACGGGGGGGGCAAGCGUUGUUCGGAAUUACUGGGCGUAAAGGGCGCGUAGGCGGUCCUGUAAGUCCUGUGUGAAAUCCCCCGGCUCAACUGGGGAAUUGCACGGGAAACUGCGGGGCUUGAGUUCGGGAGAGGGAAGCGGAAUUCCGGGUGUAGCGGUGAAAUGCGUAGAUAUCCGGAGGAACACCGGUGGCGAAGGCAGCUCGCUGGGACGGUACUGACGCUGAGGCGCGAAAGCGUGGGGAGCGAACAGG
Molecule: ribosomal RNA, 253 nt
Filed under: uncultured bacterium
Lineage: Bacteria
Description: partial 16S ribosomal RNA
Rfam family: Bacterial small subunit ribosomal RNA
Source: RNAcentral